CGCGUAGGCGGCCAAUUAAGUCAAAUGUGAAAUCCCCGAGCUUAACUUGGGAAUUGCAUUCGAUACUGGUUGGCUAGAGUGUGGGAGAGGAUGGUAGAAUUCCAGGUGUAGCGGUGAAAUGCGUAGAGAUCUGGAGGAAUACCGAUGGCGAAGGCAGUUCUCUGGGCCGUGACUGACGCUGAGGAGCGAAAGCGUGGGGAGCGAACAGGAUUAGAUACCCGCGUA
RNAcentral lists this ribosomal RNA (225 nucleotides) under uncultured Acinetobacter sp. RNAcentral describes it as "partial 16S ribosomal RNA". It matches the Rfam family "Bacterial small subunit ribosomal RNA", at positions 568 to 792 of the family's 1533-position model. The record is from RNAcentral. Lineage: Bacteria; Pseudomonadati; Pseudomonadota; Gammaproteobacteria; Moraxellales; Moraxellaceae.